UAUUUAUUUAUUUGCGGUACUGAGAAUUGAACCCACUGCCUCGCACAUGCCAUGCAAGUACGCUACUGCUGAGCCUGAGCCCCAGUACCUGUGUUUUUCUCUUGCACCGUAACUCCUAUAAUGCAUCUAUUGGUCUGCUUGUUAGUGCCAUAUAAGUCCUUUAGGUUCUUUUCACUUUAUUCUUUUUUCUUCUUGUUCCUCGGCUUGAUAAUUUCAAAUGUCCUAUAUUUGAGUUCCUUGAUUUUUUUCUUCUGUCUAUUCAAAUCUGUUGAGAACCUGUGGAUUUUUCAAUUUGGUUGUUGUAUUUUCAGUUCUAGAAUUUUCAUUUUGUUUAUAUGUUCUCCGGAUUUCCUUUAGUUUUUGUCCAUGUUUCCCUUUAGUUCUUUAAGCAUAUUUAAGAUGGUUGUUUUGAAGUCUUUUUCUAGCAAGUCUGAUGUCUGUGAUUCUUCAGUUGUAUUUUCUGCCCCUUUAUUUUCAUUCUUUGAAAAGACCUUGUUUUCCUUUUUUUUUUAAUGGGUUCCCCCCUCCUCCCAAUACCUCAUAGGGUUUUCUGCUGAAAAUUGGGAAUUUGAGGAAACAAUCACUUCACCUAGUCUUUGCAGAUUGCCAGGAACAAUAAAGACCAAGAGGCUCUUUCCUUCAUUGCCUGUGAAUAACAAUGUAAAAUGUUGAAUAGAAUGAGUCUUAUUUAGAACUACAAAUGUUUUACAAUGCACCUGAAAACCUAUUACUAAUUUUUUUCCUCACUAACAAAUAUCUCUGAACAUGUUAAGUAUCAAUUUUAUGCAAAAUAGUAACAUAUUUAAAUAAAGCAUUUGUGUUAUUUUCAUUUCUUACAAGCUUGAUUCCAGUGCCCUGUCUUAGGGCCAAAUAUAUGCUUGACAUAUUUAAAAUAAUGAAAUAUGAAGUUCUAAAGGCAGUUGGUUAUAGAGUGUUAUGGAUCCAAUUGGGUCUGUCCACCUUCCAUUCCCAAAAAUAUAUAUGUUGAAUCCUAACCCUGAGUACCUCAAAAUGAGACCUUAUUUGGAAAUAGAGUGAUUGUGCAUAAAUUUAGUUAAACUGAGAUAUGGUCAUACUGAGCUAGUAUGGGCCCCCAUACAUUAUGACAGAUGUCUUUACAAGCAGAUAGAGAUGUGGUGGCAAUGAGAGGGAGAACACCAUGUGAAAAUGGAAGCAGAAAUUGUACUGAUGCAUCUUCAAGCCAAGUAACACCAAGUAUGGUUAGCCAUAAUGAGAAGCCAAGAGUGAGAGAUUGAACAGAUUCUCUGUCAGAGCAAGGCACCAACCCUGUUUACACCUUUAUUUUUUACUUCUGACCUCUAGAACUGUAGGAGAAUAAAUUUCCAUUGUUUUAGGCA
Ictidomys tridecemlineatus (thirteen-lined ground squirrel) is the source of this 1358-nucleotide non-coding RNA. NCBI's taxonomy places the organism in Eukaryota, Metazoa, Chordata, Mammalia, Rodentia, Sciuridae. The record is from RefSeq and is a predicted model, not a curated record.